AUACUCCUUUGUUGUGUUAAGUGUUGGCAAAUUCUGAACCCCGCCCUAGCGGUUCAGAUGUUGAACCCCGAGCCUCCCUCCCCCAUAGAGGUUCGGGGUUUUUUUAUGCCCGCCA
RNAcentral lists this small RNA (115 nucleotides) under Pseudomonas guineae. RNAcentral describes it as "Pseudomon-1/ErsA RNA". It matches the Rfam family "Pseudomon-1/ErsA RNA". Rfam says of the family: Functions to regulate the AlgC enzyme. Based on this information, the new name ErsA for the RNA was adopted. Negatively regulates major porin oprD expression responsible for uptake of carbapenem antibiotics, by base pairing with oprD 5'UTR (leading to increased bacterial resistance to meropenem). The record is from Rfam by way of RNAcentral. Lineage: Bacteria; Pseudomonadati; Pseudomonadota; Gammaproteobacteria; Pseudomonadales; Pseudomonadaceae.